AUACGGAGGGUGCAAGCGUUGUUCGGAAUUACUGGGCGUAAAGCGCGUGCAGGCGGUAAGGUAAGUCAGAUGUGAAAGCCCCGGGCUCAACCCGGGAAGUGCAUUUGAUACUGCCUUUCUUGAGUAUGGGAGAGGAGAGUGGAAUUCCCGGUGUAGAGGUGAAAUUCGUAGAUAUUGGGAGGAACACCCGUGGCGAAGGCGACUCUCUGGACCAAUACUGACGCUGAGACGCGAAAGCGUGGGGGGCGAACAGGAUUAGAAACCCUAGUAGUCC
This 274-nucleotide ribosomal RNA is filed under the name uncultured bacterium. RNAcentral describes it as "partial 16S ribosomal RNA". It matches the Rfam family "Bacterial small subunit ribosomal RNA", at positions 523 to 796 of the family's 1533-position model. The record is from RNAcentral.